RNAcentral lists this ribosomal RNA (322 nucleotides) under uncultured eukaryote. RNAcentral's name for it is "partial 18S ribosomal RNA". It matches the Rfam family "Eukaryotic small subunit ribosomal RNA", at positions 1470 to 1796 of the family's 1831-position model. The record is from RNAcentral.
CCCUUAGAUGUUCUGGGCCGCACGCGUGCUACACUGAGUGGAUCAGCGGGUCAGGUUGCGCGAAAGCGUUUCCUAAUCUUUAAAUCCGCUCGUGAUGGGGAUUGACGGUUGCAAUUUUCUGUCAUGAACGAGGAAUACCUUGUAAGCGCGGGUCAUCAUCCCGCGCUGAAUACGUCCCUGCCCUUUGUACACACCGCCCGUCGCUCCUACCGAUUGAGUGGUCCGGUGAAAUCUUGGGAUUUUGUUUUGUUUGCAUUUAUUUGUAUCGAGACGAGAGAACUUGAGUAAACCUUACCAUUUAGAGGAAGGUGAAGUCGUAACA